GACGAACGCUGGCGGCGUGCUUAACACAUGCAAGUCGAACGGAAAGGCCCUGCUUUUGUGGGGUGCUCGAGUGGCGAACGGGUGGGUAACACGUGAGUAACCUGCCCUUGACUUUGGGAUAACUUCAGGAAACUGGGGCUAAUACCGGAUAGGAGCUCCUGCUGCAUGGUGGGGGUUCGAAAGUUUCGGCGGUUGGGGAUGGACUCGCGGCUUAUCAGCUUGUUGGUGGGGUAGUGGCUUACCAAGGCUUUGACGGGUAGCCGGCCUGAGAGGGUGACCGGCCACAUUGGGACUGAGAUACGGCCCAGACUCCUACGGGAGGCAGCAGUGGGGAAUAUUGCACAAUGGGCGGAAGCCUGAUGCAGCAACGCCGCGUGCGGGAUGACGGCCUUCGGGUUGUAAACCGCUUUCGCCUGUGACGAAGCGUGAGUGACGGUAAUGGGUAAAGAAGCACCGGCUAACUACGU
This 467-nucleotide ribosomal RNA is filed under the name uncultured bacterium. RNAcentral describes it as "partial 16S ribosomal RNA". It matches the Rfam family "Bacterial small subunit ribosomal RNA", at positions 28 to 506 of the family's 1533-position model. The record is from RNAcentral.